AUGAACGCUGACAGAAUGCUUAACACAUGCAAGUCAACUUGAACUUCGGUUUGGGUGGCGGACGGGUGAGUAACGCGUAACGAACUUGCCUCACAGCUAGGGACAACAUUUGGAAACGAAUGCUAAUACCUGAUAUUAUGAUUAUAUGGCAUCGUAUAAUUAUGAAAGCUAUAUGCGCUGUGAGAGAGCUUUGCGUCCCAUUAGCUAGUUGGAGAGGUAACAGCUCACCAAGGCGAUGAUGGGUAGCCGGCCUGAGAGGGUGAUCGGCCACAAGGGGACUGAGACACGGCCCUUACUCCUACGGGAGGCAGCAGUGGGGAAUAUUGGACAAUGGACCGAGAGUCUGAUCCAGCAAUUCUGUGUGCACGAUGAAGUUUUUCGGAAUGUAAAGUGCUUUCAGUUGGGAAGAAAAAAAUGACGGUACCAACAGAAGAAGUGACGGCUAAAUACGUG
This 453-nucleotide ribosomal RNA is filed under the name uncultured bacterium. RNAcentral describes it as "partial 16S ribosomal RNA". It matches the Rfam family "Bacterial small subunit ribosomal RNA", at positions 29 to 507 of the family's 1533-position model. The record is from RNAcentral.